GGCCAGCAGCCGCGGUAAUACGGAGGGUGCAAGCGUUGUUCGGAAUUAUUGGGCGUAAAGGGUGCGUAGGCGGACAGGCAAGUCAGGUGUGAAAUUCCGGUACUCAAUAUCGGAGCUGCACUUGAAACUACACUUCUAGAGGAUAGGCGGAGAAAACGGAAUUCCACAUGUAGCGGUGAAAUGCGUAGAUAUGUGGAAGAACACCGGUGGCGAAGGCGGUUUUCUAGCUUAUUCCUGACGCUGAGGCCCGAAAGCUAGGGGAGCGAACAGGAUUAGAUA
Molecule: ribosomal RNA, 279 nt
Filed under: uncultured bacterium
Lineage: Bacteria
Description: partial 16S ribosomal RNA
Rfam family: Bacterial small subunit ribosomal RNA
Source: RNAcentral